Molecule: long non-coding RNA, 2541 nt
Organism: Apis dorsata (giant honeybee)
Lineage: Eukaryota; Metazoa; Arthropoda; Insecta; Hymenoptera; Apidae
Exons: 3
Source: RefSeq, a predicted model, not a curated record
CACAUCAACACAUAAUCACAAUAAUGCAUCAUUUUCAAUGUAUAGAUAUAUUUUUAAAGGAUAUGUGAGUAAAUCAUAGUUGUGUAUGAGAGGAUGUUUCAAUUCAAAGAGGCAGUUAUUACUAAUGAUAAUGAUCCUUCUUUUUCUUUUCAGAUUUUCCUUUUAAUGAUAAGUGCAAUAAACUAUAGCAACGUAAAGCGAAUUACUGUUAGAUGUGUGAGUUGGAAAUUUAAUUUAAUAGUACUUUGAGAUUGGAGGAAAUUGCUUUUAUAAAAUGAUAUUUAGGAGAAAGGAUAUGACUUUUUUAAAGGACGGGUAUGGAACUGUAAUAUAUGAAUGAAAUUUGGAGAAAUUAAUCGUUGUAUUAUGCAGAUAGGAAACAGAGAUUAAAGAUUAUUAAAUUAUACUAUGACAUGUAAAUGACUUUGGUUAAAUGGAUUUUUCUGGUUUAACGUGAGAUUAAUUGUUGUACGUGUUGUAAGUUAUAUAAUUUUUAAGCAAUUUUUCGAGGAAAUUUAUGCACGAUAAUAAAUAUAUUAGAUUUUAUUCGAUGCAUGAUAUUCCUUCAAUUUCCAUUUUUACAAAAAAAAAAAAAAGAAAUUAUAGUACUUGAUACGAUGGUUGCAUGCCACCAAAUGUUUAAUCGUUAUUAACUGUCGAUAAAGAAUUUCUUAUCCUUGCAACAUAAUAAUUACCCAAGCUUAAUUCAAAUCUAAUGUUAAUCAACAAAGUAGCAAUCGCGCAUAGUGCUACUACUACUGUUACCUCGCAAACUCGAAGUUAUGGUAUCGUACGUAUAAACCAAUAAUUACGAUAAAAUCCAAUCUAGCAUGCAAUGCAUCGUUCAUUAUUCUAAUUACGGUGAGCAAUAUCUAACGUAGGUGUAAAAUUUCACCUAAGUUUCAAAGCGUUGGAUGAUUUAUGGUUACGAGAAUUUUACUAAAAUGCACUUUUAGAACGUUACUCGUCUCGUUAAUAAUUUUUUUGACACGGCAUAAACGACCCUUAUCUUAACUUCAUAAUGUACUAUGACGAGAUCCAUCUUUGAAGAAUGUCUAAUCUGAUCCUAUAAUUUAAAAAUGCUAUGAAAAGAAAUUAGAAUUAUCGAAGUUAAUUUUAACCAUAAAUCAUUUUCAGUUUGCAUUAACCGUGCCAUAACCUACGAUUCAAAAUUCCUGCCAUACAUUCGACUCAAGAGUUAAUUGCAUUAAUAGUCCAAUAAACGAAUUAAUCCUUUCUCCGCUACUCUUUACGACUCGAUGCUUCUAAAUUACAAGAAUCUCAGGAUUAAACCGUGCAACUUACACGGCACGGUUAAUUAAACGACGCGUUUUAUCGUCUGAAUAGAGUCUCCCUGCCGCGUCUCGAACCAAUCCUCCCAUUCUUAUGCAAAACUCGCGCGAUCGAUCCUAUCGAUCGAUGUUAACGAAAUACCGGUACGAAACCUCAAAAAAAAAAAAAAGGCUUGGUCUGUAAUUCAUAAGAGCCGAAACUUGGUCCGGCUAAUUCAGAAAUUGCCCUCCCCCGUAUAAUUAUAAACCGAGUGUCCACCAGUGUAUCAGGCUUUAUUAUCCUAAUUUACGCGCUCCUUAUUGCGCAAUUAGGCGACGUGAUACCGGGAUGAAUUUACGAGGGAGACGUGGAGGGAAAGGUUUCGAGAUGAUUGAAUGAUGGUUCUUGGAAAUGAUCAAAACAUCGUUUACCAGAACGAUUUAACGACUUGCCGGAGGGUUAAUGAUAUAACCAUAAUAAAGAACGAUAAUAAGCUUCGAAUCCAAGCAGGAAGUUGCUCGGUGUAUUAACUACUAAGCUUAUCCUUUAAGCUUUAAUUCCUGGUGCACUUCUCUCGGAGUUAUUCGAUAAUUUUUAAAACAUUAUCCUACUCGCAUCCCUCGAGUAAACCGAUAAAAUUCGAAAUCCAAUAUAUACAACAAUUGAAUCAAUCUCUCCUCCAUCGCGACAAGCCUCGAACCGGCUUUCCCUCGAAUCCAACUGGUGCAAAGGGAACAAGAGAAAAUUUGCAAGUAUCGGUGCUCACCAUCGAAUAUCCAGCGGCCUAUCUCAAGGAGAAUCGCUCAUAAAUAUUUAUCCGGGCGGUAUUAUCGCGAAUACAGGCCUGUCCAAGCGUUCAAGUCUCCGGAAGUCGGGCAUCGAUCCGGCCUUGAUGCACUCGUGGAUCGGUUCAUCCGGUCGGCUUAGCAGUGUGCUUGUUCAGUUUUCACGAGACUCAAAGCGAAUCGGGACUUCGCGUUAAUCCUCUCUCUUUCUCUCUCUCGCCUAGUCAACUCUGUAUAAUCUUAACUAACGAGAAAGCGGCGGGGUUGGAGUAACACACCGGCGAACCUGUGAAGCCCUGCUCUGUGAAGGGAUCGCCGUCCACGUUUCCACGACUCCUUUUUACGAAGCCACGCGGAAGGAUUAACGUCAGGGUGAUUUUCAACGUGGUUGUUGCUCUAAUGCUGGGACGAGACAGACGUGCGUUUCGUCGUACUUUUUUCUUGGUACAUUUUUAUGAUUCUGGAGUCGAGGAAGAUUGAUUUU